GAUGAAGAACGUAGCGAAAUGCGAUAAGUAAUGUGAAUUGCAGAAUUCUGUGAAUCAUCGAAUCUUUGAACGCACAUUGCGCCCGUCAGUAUUCUGGCGGGCAUGCCUGUUCGAGCGUCAUUACGCCCCUCAAGUCCCCUGUGGACUUGGUGUUGGGGAUCGGCGAGGCUGGUUUUCCAGCACAGCCGUCCCUUAAAUUAAUUGGCGGUCUCGCCGUGGCCCUCCUCUGCGCAGUAGUAAAACACUCGCAACAGGAGCCCGGCGCGGUCCACUGCCGUAAAACCCCCCAACUUUUUAUAGUUGACCUCGAAUCAGGUAGGACUACCCGCUGAACUUAAGCAUAUCAAUAAGCGGAGGA
This 358-nucleotide unclassified non-coding RNA is filed under the name soil metagenome. RNAcentral describes it as "partial contains 5.8S ribosomal RNA, internal transcribed spacer 2, and large subunit ribosomal RNA". The stretch from base 1 to 120 matches the Rfam family "5.8S ribosomal RNA", at positions 35 to 154 of the family's 154-position model. The record is from RNAcentral.